AUGCUCUGUUGCUCUUAUUGCUCCGAAAUCUAAAAGUUUUGGAAUCUGUGAGCUAGGAACUGUAGAAAAUAUGUUUGGGUCAUCUAAAUCACAAUAUUGCUAUUUGCAUGUAGUGGAGGUGAAUAAUGAAAAGGCCAUAAGAAAAUGAAGGAGGAAAAGAGCAAACAUAAAGGGAGGAAGAGAAAAAGCCAAGGAUGGAAUCACCGAGAAAGGAGGAAGAUGAACCUGAAUAAUCAUAACUGGUCUUGGGGUACCUGGGUGGCUCAGUCAUUUGAGCAUCCAACUCUUGAUUUCAGCUCGGGUCAUGAUUUUGAGGUUCAUGAUAUCGAACCCAGUGUUGGGCUCCUCACUUACAGCACAGAGCCUGCUUGGGAUUCUCUCUCCCUACCUCUUUCUCUGCCCCUCCCCUGCUCAUAUGCACGUGCUUUCUCUCUCGCUCUCAAAAUAAAUAAACAUUAAAAAACUUAAUCA
Long non-coding RNA from Neofelis nebulosa (Clouded leopard), 471 nucleotides. RefSeq lists it as uncharacterized. The record is from RefSeq and is a predicted model, not a curated record. The transcript has 2 exons. Lineage: Eukaryota; Metazoa; Chordata; Mammalia; Carnivora; Felidae.